UUAAGACUAAACCUACCGACACUUCGUGUAUACGUAUUCCUACCGUGUGCGGUAAAGAUGAUCGGUGAUUAAAGAAGUAAUAGUUUUUAUGAUUUCACUUAGAUAAUGGUUAAUUUAUAACUAAAUGUAUAUAAAAUGAUGAACUUUCAUAUAAUUUCGUCCAAAUGUACUUUUGAUAAGAUAAAAGAAGUUUCAUAGGAUGUGAAUAACGAGGUAGAUUGAUACAGGUGUUCUGUAGAUUUAUUGGACUCUAAAUCCGAUACUCGUUUUCCAUUGAAGUCCUCUUUUUUCCAGUCUUUUAGUCUUUGUAUCUUUUCUCUCAUUCUCCCUCCUUCUUCA
This 339-nucleotide unclassified non-coding RNA is filed under the name Bombus terrestris (buff-tailed bumblebee). Its description in RNAcentral is "misc RNA ENSBTSG00005029914.1". The record is from RNAcentral. Lineage: Eukaryota; Metazoa; Arthropoda; Insecta; Hymenoptera; Apidae.